RNAcentral lists this long non-coding RNA (4216 nucleotides) under Vitis vinifera (wine grape). Its description in RNAcentral is "long non-coding RNA (VVIN_LNC006307)". The record is from RNAcentral. Lineage: Eukaryota; Viridiplantae; Streptophyta; Magnoliopsida; Vitales; Vitaceae.
GAGUGAAGAGGUCCUCAGACUUUUGGGGGUCUCAGAUACGUUUGGAGAAGCUUUGCAAGCUAAAGGAGCACCUCUCAAAGGCUGGUUCUUCAGGUAUGUUUCUAGUUCCUCACAGAACUCUUGCUUGCAUUCGGUUCCUCUUUCUGAUCGUUCCAGAAUGCUUAAUGCUUUAUUGAUUGGGGUGGACGAAAAGGGCCACAAAUUGUUAUGUUGAAAUUGGUUCUUUGUGUGUUUGCCAUGAUCUUCAUUCAGUUGAUGCCAUUGAUCCCGUUUGAUUUUGUUCAUGUUAAAAAUCUAUUUUGAAUAAUUCUCCCGUUUUAUAAACACGUUGCCUUGUUUUGGCUGGUUCUCCCUCAUCCGGGCUCGGAAUUGAGCGCCAUUUCUUUUGUUGGAUUCCUUAUUCUUUGAGGAAUCUGUUGUUAAAAUUUCAGAAUUUUUCUCAACCUUUUGGACCGGUUGGGAACCGUUUCAACAGGUCCUGCAUGCCCAACCCUGUUUUAUAAAUGCGUUGCCUUGUUUUGGCCGAUUCUCCCUCAUUCGGGCUCAGAAUUGAGCGCCGUUUCUUUUGUUGGAUUCUUUAUUCUUUGAGGAAUCUUCUGUUAAAAUUUCAGAAUUUUUCUCAACCGGUUGAACUGGUUGGGAACCGGUUCAACAGGUCCUGCAUGUCCAACCCUGUUUUAUAAACGCGUUGCCUUGUUUUGACCGGUUCUCCCUCAUCCAAGCUCGGAAUCGAGUGCCAUUUCUUUUGUUGGAUUCCUUAUUCUUUCAGGGAAUUUGCUAUUAAAAUUUCAGAAUUUUUUUCAACCGGUUGAACCGGUUGUGCAUGACCAGCCCUGUUUUAUAAACAUAUUGCAUUGUUUUUGCCGGUUCUCCCUCCUCCAGGCUCGGAAUUGAGUGCCGUUUCUUUUAUUGGAUUCCUUAUUCUUUGAGGAAUCUGCUAUCAAAAUUUCAGAAUUUUUUCUCAAUCGGUUGAAUCGGUUGGGAACCAGUCCAACAGCCCUUGCAUGAUCAACCUUGUUUUAGUAUGUUUUGACCCAUAUUUUUGUUAUGGCUUGAGCCCUUAGGCUCCGAGGAACUUGUGGGUCUCCUUUAGAGUUUUAAAUGGGCUCUGAACUGAAUCAGAAUAGACCCGCUUCAGAGCUAGAGGCAUUAGGGGUCAGGUAAGUUUGGUUUGAUUUGAUGUUGGAGAUUAGUGAAUUGUUGUUUGAGGGAAUGUGUAAGGAAUAAAAUAAUUGGGUGCCAUCAUUUCCAUUCACUUCCUCUUUAAGCGUGAACUUUGAUGCUUGAUCAUGAAUGCCUACUACAUGCUUGUGUUUGUUGCCUCAUCUUUUCUUUGCAGCACAUGGCUAGGGACCUCAGGUAUGCACUCUGAUUUUUUACUUGUUGAGUGUAUGUGCAUGCUAAAUAUUAGGCGGGUCUAUGUGAUUCAUGUCAUUUGUUUAGCCUAAGGUGUAACACCUAGUACUAAUGAAUUAAAUAGGCAAUAAUGAUUAUUUUAGUACUUAACUUUAAGCUUGCUUAAUUAGAUGUUAAAACUAGUUUAGUGCUAAUCAUGUUUAAUUAUGAAUUAAACUUUGAUUAAGGUUAAGUGGGAUUAGUUAAUGAUCUAAGCAUGCUUAUUAGGUUCUUAGGGACUAAUUAGGGUUAUGAAAACCUAAAGGACUAAUGGGCAAUUAUGGGUUUUAUUUUUGAUAACUUGAAGGACUAAAGUGCAAAAUCUGGAAAUUUGAGUUAGUGGAAUGCCACCUCCUACUUGGGUGGAUUGGUGGCAGCCAUGUGGGCUGCCACCUCAUGCUUGAAUGCUUGGAGACCCCUUUAUAAGGGGGGCUGCAGCUCGUUUUACACCAUUUCACCUGCAGCAACUUGGGUUAGAGAGAGAAUCUAGAGAGAGAAAGUGUAGAUUUGAGGUAAGCAAGUUGUUUAAUUUUGUAAUUUUUGUUUAUUUUGGUUCCUAAUGGUAUGUUGAAUAGAAUUAACGGUAAAAAUUGUGUAAAAGUUGAGUAUAAUUAGCUAUAAACCUGUUUUAGUUAAAAAUCACAAUUAAUUAAAGAUUAAAGUAUUUUAAGUUAAGUAUUUUAUUAAUGGUAAGAUCAACAUAAAUCUUUGUUUAAUUUGGUUUGAUUGAAAAAUAGAUUAGUAAACAUGUGAUGAAUUGGGUUAUUUGGACACUUGGGAUUUGUUAAUAGGUUAGGCUUUAAGAAAAUCAAAAGAAGUAGUGUUUGGUAAUUAAUUAGGGAAAUUAAUAUGCAUUGUAAAUAUUGUUUAAUUAAAUUCAAAUUUGAUCUGAAAACAUGUAGGAUAUAGAUUAGAGAAUGUGAGAAUUAAAAAUUUGCAACAAUAAACUAUAUAAAUUUUCAUGGUUAGGAAACCUAAAUUAUGUUGUUUCAUUUCAGUUCCUCGUAAUAGGCAAAGAUCGCCUACUUAGAAGAAACACAAAAAGGAAGUCGGUGUAAGGUAGGGAAUUUUAUGCUAUUCUAUGGUGUAUCUGAUUUCUUUCCUUGAAUUAUUGGUUGGAAUUUUAUGUUAUUUCUAUGAUUUCAUAAAAUCUUUUAAAGUGUCAUUGCAUCUCGGUUAUUGCAUUGAAAUGUUACCAUGAUGUUGGAACGUAUAUUGGUAUGAAGAUUCGUGGUUUUGUGUUGUCGAAAUGGUUUAUGGUGUGAUUGCAUUGCAAGAAGGAUAUGGAAUUAUCACAGAUCAUAUUCAGAGAAUUUAUUGGUGGCGAAGUGCUUAUGUGAUGCUACAGGCCUUAUCAUUUGAUAUAUUGUUUAUGUGGGACCGUGGGUCCUUGGGUGAAAGUCCCUAAAGCCGUCGAGGAAGACACUCCGAUGUGGGUGUAUGGGGUUGGUCCUGCCCCUGGGUUUUAGUCCCUAAAGACACGGGGUUGGUCCUGCCCUUGGGUAUGAGUCCCAAAAGACACGGGGUAUGACUUGCCCUUGGGUGAUGUCCCAGAAUAGUCAUUAUUAUAUUGAUCGAGUAUCUUGUGGAGCAUUGAUAUCUGCUGUGUAGAUUGUUGGGAGUCGGCAAAUUAUCAGUUGUGAAAGGAUGGAUGGGGAAAAGCAAUGAUGAAACCAACAAACACAUGCAUACAUGUUUGACAUGAUUACACAUUUGUUAAUGGUUAUGAAAUGUUUAUCAUGCAUGUUAUUAAACGUUUAAUUCAAGGUUUUUAAGGGUAUACUUAGGAUGGUUAUAAACUUUCCUACUGAGUUGUGAACUCACCCUAUUCCUUCCACCUAUAGAUGCAGGUCAGAAGACCUAUGCAGGAAAGAAUGCUUGAGCAAUGCUUUACUGUGAUUGGAUGCUGUUUGCUCAUAUUGAAAGUCUUUUGAGGCCAUGCCUUUUGUAUCAAGACUACACCUUUUGUUGGAAUGAUGUAAUGGUAUAUAUUUGUUAGAUACACUUGUAGUAUGGGCUACCCAUAGUAAACAAUGGGGUUUGGUAUAUGUAAAUUAAUGAUGUACAAGUUCCUUUUGCGAAACAAAACAUAUUUUGUUAACUCAAUAGUCACAAUGUUUAUUACAGAAUGUACUCUUUAUAACAGGUUUUCCAUAUCCUCUUUUUGAACAAAUUCAAGUAGGAACUCAACAUUUAAAUUUUUGAGAGCACUUAUACUGUAUUUGAGUAUCAAUUCUUUAGUUGAAGAAUAAAUAAUAAUAAUCAUAAGAAAAAAAAAAUUGGGGUGUGACAUAAGGUUUGUUUGAUCUUUGAUCCAUAUGCUCCCAUAUACCCAGUUCAUCAAUAGAGACCGAGUUCCGGGCCUAGAGGGGUGGUACCUCGGAUGAGGUACCUUCCCAAUAGGUAACCUGAUCCCCGAACCCAGAAUCUAGUUUUCGCAGACUGCUUUUUCCAUACUGGAGUCAUUAAGGGUUUUCGUUCUUACUUGAUUUUCCCCUUUAUAAAAUAAAAAUAAAAAGUAAGUGGCGACUCCAAACAAAACCGUUCCUCAUCGGGUACGGAUUUUCCAAAACCCGAAAACACACUUACCUUCUUUACUUUUUAAAAAGCGAGUCACGCCGACCCGUGGAUCGGGUGAGGGUCCACAGUGACAUUCCAUAUCAGAUAGGAAAAAUAGUAUUUCAUAUAUAUACAUAUAUAUGAACUCUUCUUAAUCAUAUAAAUAUAUUUUAAAACCGUGAGAUAUUCUCGAGUUUGGAGCGUACAAUAUAUAAAUGUGUUUUAAAAUUAUGAGAGACCCUUGAGUUUGGAGCAUACGAUA